This is an RNA transcript of Triticum aestivum (bread wheat), 3673 nucleotides long. It is a transcript of the gene named serine/arginine repetitive matrix protein 1, with no coding region annotated. The transcript has 5 exons. The record is from RefSeq and is a predicted model, not a curated record. Lineage: Eukaryota; Viridiplantae; Streptophyta; Magnoliopsida; Poales; Poaceae.
GAGCGAGGUCUGCUUCGAGACUGCUUCAAGAGGAUGAUCUGCUUCGAGACUCUGAACCCGCCGUGCCUGCUGCUGCCGUGCGACCAGGCACCCGAGAUCUUCGACAUCGCCGACCACUUCGCUGGGUCAGGCAGCGUCAAGGACCCGCCCAGGAUCCCCAUCAUAUGCAAGCCCAACGUCGACGCCAUGGAGCCGGCCCUCAAGAUCGCCAACGUCAACCCAGAUCCGUGCGCUACCUCCCUUUGCCGCCGGAUCCCCGUGAGGCAUGCUCAGAUCCGUCCGCCAACCGCUGGCGACGAUGCGUACGGCGCCACCACAGCCGUGCUCGAGCGCCUCCACCCCAACCCGCGCGCGAGCUACUAAACCCACGCCCCCACCCCAUUCGCAACACACAUUCCGGUAGUCCUCCUAGCCGACGUCGUUUCAAACCCGGGAGGAAAGCCCCACACGCCGGCGCGGCCGCGAACCCCGGCCGAUCGGCGCCGAUGAGAGGCGGGAGGCGCGGGACGGGGAGAGUGCGGCGGGGAGGCGGCGCCGCCGCCGCCGCUCCGCCGCCGCGGGGCGAGCGCGCCGCCGGCGUCCAGUUCAUCGAACUCAGCGACGGUUCGUGAUACGGGGCGCCUGUGCGUGAACUCUUGCUUUUUAUUUCUCCUGCAUUUCGGUUUAGAUCGGGCGUCCAGGCGAUUUUAGCUUGAGGUUUGGCACGUAGCUGUAGGCUGUUGGUUGGAAGUUUAGGCGAGCUUUCGAGGUACUCGUUUGGUCGGGGUUGCAAAUGACCGGCAUUUGCCAUGCAUACGCGCGUACCGGUCAAUUUCGUUUUCGAGAGCGCAUCGAUUGGUAUUUUUCCCGAUCCGAAACAAAUUGCCCCCCAACCUUGUGAGCUGGAUUUUUCUUUGCUUUUUUUGUGGGCUAACACUUCUUCGGUCAGUUGCAGUGUUGAUCACUGUGUCAGAUGCGAAAUUUCGUUCGGAUUAUCACUUUUUUUGCAAUUUUAUUUUACAGAUGAUGUGAAGUCAGCAACGCAGCAACCACCGAAAGGAGAAAUUGCGGAGGGAUGCGCGGCAGAUGAUUUCAACGCGCCCCCAUGUGAUUCCACCAAGGAAGUUUCCACAAAGAACCUGGGACGUCUUAGAAAGCGAACAGCUGCUGGCGGUGCUGCAACUUCUGAGUUGCAUGAGGAUGAGCUAAAGGUUGCUGAUGUCAAGCUGAGCAAUGAUGAAGACUGGUCAUAAUGGGGAGUAUCAUAAUGCGUAAAAUGACGAGCGUGAUCGAGGCGUGGCGCCUCCUGGACUCCGUCCGUCGCCGCUUUGGCGACGACGUCCCCGCCGCUGGGCAGGAAGAGUGUUUCCACGCCUUCAACCUCCAUGUCCACGAUGUCGUACUCGAUGCCCACCUGCAAGGUCAGCCUCCCAUCCUCCCGGUCCUUCCCAGCAAAUUAAUCUGGACUUCAACCAUGAAUUAAACGUCCUGGUCUCUAAUGGGAACUUUUUUGUUACUGAACUUCGUAAUUGGUUUGCAUAAAAUCUGAGGUCUGUCUGACAUAUUUUACUUGACCACGGUUCGCUUCAGAAUUCUACUUUAUGUGAGCAUUACUUUCUUAGUCUAUCUGAUUUACUUGGAGGAGUAUUUAAUUACACGUAUGUGUAGUACAAGUUGUUAUUUCCUAAUAAUUUUGAUGGCCUCUAAGCAUCGUUGUUCAUGUCUAUUAUUAUUUAUGAAAGCUACAUGUCUUGGAGGGAAGUUGCGACUUGAGGGAGUGAGCUCCCAUUCUCUCAAUUUCUUGGCAUGGCCAUGCUUGCAGUACUGAUAAGACAUGCUUCAAAAAUGGAGGAGGGAGGACGUGAGCUGCUGCCUUGGUUCCUGUCCGCACCAGCUGCCACAGUAUGUAAUCAGGCCUCCACUAUCGUCCUCUGAAUUUUGGAUUACAUGCAUCUACAAGAGCGUGAGAACUUGAGAGGGUAGCACAGUGCUACGUAGAAGUUAUUUUUCUCCAUGAAGUUGAUCAUGCGAAGCUGGUGCCAGAUAGAAGGUUAAUUGAGUUCUCAUCUCCAAAAUGUUUGCAUUCUAAGUAUCCUCUUUGAUUCAGUGGUUCCAUGAUGCUACAGUUCACUUGUUUUUCACCUCUUGAUGCUACUAUGCACAGAAGGUGUUUGCUAAUUUGCACAUUAAAAUUUUCUGAUAAACUAUGCCAAUAUCACAUGCAUAUGUAUUUUUUAGUGAUGUUCGAUUAUUAAUCCAUGUUACAAUAGAACGUGCCCACAUAACAAGUUUUUCCGCAAUCUUCGCAAGCAAGUAUUUGUUUGUUUAACUGCAGGUGGAAUAACAAGAUCCACUGUGUGUGUGCAAUGGCAACAAUAAAUACUCUAUUGGGCAUCAAAGUAGACGACAAAGGAUGACAAACGAUUAAGUUCUGCACCUUAGUCCACUUACAACUUAUAAGUUGAUUGAUACUUUUCAUUUUAUAUUGAUGUGCUUCCAAUGAGAACAAUUUUUUCACCGGAUGUGUUUCAUUACAUAUGCCAUUUUAUUUGUGUGAAGUCUUUCAGACUUUCUUUUGAUUCUUUAUUUUAACGGCCUGAAAAAGGAUUAUAAGUAAUGUUGGGUUCCUGACAGGACAAAGGUAGGAAGAGAAGCAAAUCACAACCUUUAGGUUCAUGGUUUAGGAGCAGGAAAGUACAUGUCCAUCUUUGUGGUAUUCUCAUAUGAAUAAGCAUAAUACUACGUACAGAAUCUCUCAAUUGUGUAGACAGGUCAUCAAGUAAUGGUUAGUAAUUCAUAAUUCUGCUUCACCUUUAUGUUAAUGAUCCGCUUUUAAGUGUUUGUUGCCAAAGUGAGCAUCAAAUUGCAGGAAUCUCAAUAUUUGUUCUAUAUUUCUCGCAAGGCUCUUGUACGGUAGAUAUUUUUGCUUGGUCAUAAAUGAAUUAGUCCCAUGCUCUGACAGUAAGAUAAUGGAGCUAGGUGGACGAACAUCGGCAUUGAUGCCAAGAUUAUCUGACAUCUUGUUGUACUAGUGUCUUAAUUGGAUAUGUUUACAGUUCUAAAAUCAAUGUUCAUCAGCAUCCAGCCUUCUAACUAAAAAGUAUUUUCGCAAGGGCUUCUCUGCACCUGUACGCUCUCUCGCUGGUACGCGAUUUGAGGCAUAGGAGCGAGGGGCAUGUUGCGAGGUCGUCUUCGGUCACGGCUACAACUUAUGACGAGAAGGGGAUUUAUGCUUAGUAGGCUGUCGUGUGGUUAGCAAGUCAUUGUCGCAGUCUCCGCCUCCCAGGUUGCCUCGGCUUGCUGCUGGUGUGUGUUGCUGCAACAGCCCCUUCCGGCCACCUCUGAGGUUGGGCAAUGUGGCCACUGAUGUCAAGGGUGUCGCCAUUUUACUUGCAAAGCACAAAUUGCACCGCACACAACAUCUUGCUAUGCAUGGCCACUGAUGUCAAAGAGAACCAAGUGCCUUGACGUACUAUAUAAAGAGAUCAUGUGAAAACAAAGCUGAAGUUCUUGAUCAGGAUGAGAAGGAAAGUGGUCUUCGAGCAACACUAAUCCUGGGUCAUACAUUUGGUCAUGUACAUAAUAUCUUCGAGCGUUGUUGUUUUUAUGUUGAGUUUAUCUGUCUUGCAUUACGAUGGUCCAUGUAAACUUAUUUGGAUGAAUUGACAGCCCAGUAAGAAGUUUGCUUUAUUUU